GACGAACGCUGGCGGCGUGCCUAAUACAUGCAAGUCGAACGCUGAAGGAGGAGCUUGCUUCUCCGGAUGAGUUGCGAACGGGUGAGUAACGCGUAGGUAACCUGCCUGGUAGCGGGGGAUAACUAUUGGAAACGAUAGCUAAUACCGCAUAACAGUAGAUAUUGCAUGAUAUCUGCUUGAAAGGUGCAAUUGCAUCACUACCAGAUGGACCUGCGUUGUAUUAGCUAGUUGGUGAGGUAACGGCUCACCAAGGCGACGAUACAUAGCCGACCUGAGAGGGGGAUCGGCCACACUGGGACUGAGACACGGCCCAGACUCCUACGGGAGGCAGCAGUAGGGAAUCUUCGGCAAUGGACGGAAGUCUGACCGAGCAACGCCGCGUGAGUGAAGAAGGUUUUCGGAUCGUAAAGCUCUGUUGUAAGAGAAGAACGAGUGUGAGAGUGGAAAGUUCACACUGUGACGGUAGCUUACCAGAAAGGGACGGCUAACUACGUG
This 495-nucleotide ribosomal RNA is filed under the name uncultured bacterium. RNAcentral's name for it is "partial 16S ribosomal RNA". It matches the Rfam family "Bacterial small subunit ribosomal RNA", at positions 28 to 507 of the family's 1533-position model. The record is from RNAcentral.